This is a long non-coding RNA of Rhipicephalus microplus (southern cattle tick), 321 nucleotides long. Lineage: Eukaryota; Metazoa; Arthropoda; Arachnida; Ixodida; Ixodidae. The record is from RefSeq and is a predicted model, not a curated record.
CAGGUUUGGUUUGCCUCUAUAUAUUACCGAGGCUUAAUCCCUGCAGAACGGCUCCGACGCCGGAACCAGCUGUGCAACAAGAAAACAAUCUGCGAAGAAGGUACAUGCUGCCAGCAAACUUCUCGCUCCCGUAGACGCUGUAAACCACUCGGCAAGCGUGGAGAUCCUUGUUCACCAAGGUCUCUAAGUAAUGUGUACCUCGGCAUGUGUCCCUGUGGUGUAAACCAAGGAACAUGUGAAGAUGGCUAUUGCACAUAAUCGGUGUUCUGGAGGAGUCAUUACUGCGUAGUCUUGUGAAAAUAAAUUGGUUUUGAUUUUUAG